RNAcentral lists this long non-coding RNA (330 nucleotides) under Manihot esculenta (cassava). Its description in RNAcentral is "long non-coding RNA (MESC_LNC007159)". The record is from RNAcentral. Lineage: Eukaryota; Viridiplantae; Streptophyta; Magnoliopsida; Malpighiales; Euphorbiaceae.
ACGAAUAUGUGCAUUGCAUAUUAUGUUUGAUGAUGUGGAUGGAUGUUGAAUGAUCCAUUAGUCCCCCUAUGCUAUGAUGAUGAUGAUACGAUACGGAAGACCAGUGAGGCCCAUUCUACGCCCCUGGCACAGUUGGACCAUGUUAUGUUAUGUUAUGUAAGAGAAAGACCAGUGAGGCCCAUUCUACGCCCCUGGCACAGUUGGUCCAUGUAGGGGACUAUUGGUGACAAGUUCAUCCUUGAUGUGAUUAGCUGUGAUGUGAUGCAUUUCAUGUUAUCAUAUGUUUUAAAUGUUUUACUAUUCUGCUCACUGGGCUUUGUAGCUCACCCC